RNAcentral lists this ribosomal RNA (668 nucleotides) under uncultured bacterium. RNAcentral's name for it is "bacterial SSU rRNA". It matches the Rfam family "Bacterial small subunit ribosomal RNA", at positions 89 to 726 of the family's 1533-position model. The record is from RNAcentral.
AGUAAAGUGGCGAACGGGUGCGUAACACGUGGGUAACCUGCCUCGAAGCUGGGGAUAAGCCCUCGAAAGGGGGUCUAAUACCGGGUAACGUCCAAAGAGGGCAUCUUCUUUGGACCAAAGGUAGCCUAUAUUUAUAAGCUAUCGCUUUGAGAUGAGCCCGCGGUCCAUUAGCUGGUUGGUGAGAUAAAAGCCCACCAAGGCUACGAUGGAUAGCCGACCUGAGAGGGUGUACGGCCACACUGGGACUGAGAUACGGCCCAGACUCCUACGGGAGGUAGCAGUAGGGAAUAUUGCGCAAUGCCCAAAAGGGUGACGCAGCAACGCCGCGUGGGUGAUGAAGUUCUUCGGAAUGUAAAAACCCUGUCUAGAGGGAAGAAACUCCUCAAGUCAAAUAGUCUUGGGGACUGACGGUACCUCUGGAGGAAGCUCCGGCCAACUCCGUGCCAGCAGCCGCGGUAAUACGGGGGGAGCAAGCGUUGUUCGGAAUCACUGGGCGUAAAGGGUGUGUAGGCGGGCCGGUAAGUCGGGCGUGAAAACUUCAAGCUUAACUUGGAGCCUGCGUCCGAAACUACCGGUCUUGAGUACGGGAGAGGAAAGUGGAAUUCCUGGUGUUACCGGUGAAAUGCGUAUAUAUUCAGGACGGAACAUCUGGUUGGCGAAGGCCGGCU